GACGAACGCUGGCGGCGUGCUUAACACAUGCAAGUCGAACGGAAAGGCCCUGCUUUUGUGGGGUGCUCGAGUGGCGAACGGGUGAGUAACACGUGAGUAACCUGCCCUUGACUUUGGGAUAACUUCAGGAAACUGGGGCUAAUACCGGAUAGGAGCUCCUGCUGCAUGGUGGGGGUUGGAAAGUUUCGGCGGUUGGGGAUGGACUCGCGGCUUAUCAGCUUGUUGGUGGGGUAGUGGCUUACCAAGGCUUUGACGGGUAGCCGGCCUGAGAGGGUGACCGGCGACAUUGGGACUGAGAUACGGCCCAGUAUCCUACGGGAGGCAGCAGUGGGGAAUAUUGCACAAUGGGCCGAAGCCUGAUGCAGCAACGCCGCGUGCGGGAUGACGGCCUUCGGGUUGUAAACCGCUUUCGCCUGUGACGAAGCGUGAGUGACGGUAAUGGGUAAAGAAGCACCGGCUAACUACGUG
This 468-nucleotide ribosomal RNA is filed under the name uncultured bacterium. Its description in RNAcentral is "partial 16S ribosomal RNA". It matches the Rfam family "Bacterial small subunit ribosomal RNA", at positions 28 to 507 of the family's 1533-position model. The record is from RNAcentral.